GACAUCAAAAAUUCAGCCUAAGCCCAAAGACCCGGCUGAUGACAUCAGUCAAUGACUGGUAAUUUAGUGUUGGCAAUCUCGCACUCAGAUAGACUUCAUUGUACGAGUCGCUUCCCCACCACAAGGUCGA
Molecule: small nuclear RNA, 130 nt
Filed under: Schistosoma mansoni
Lineage: Eukaryota; Metazoa; Platyhelminthes; Trematoda; Strigeidida; Schistosomatidae
Source: RNAcentral